CUAAAUGUGUUUAUACUUGUGUUUUAGACAAAUGGAAUAAUUUGUGAAGCAAAGACUACAACAACCUGCUAUUUAAUGGAAACAUUUGAAGAGCAAGAAGUGGAUGAAAGUUUUAUACUGCUGGAUGACCGUGGUUCUCAACUGGUCCUAGAUUAUCCCCAGCAAUACACAUUUUGGAUGUCUUCCUUAUCUGACACCCUUUUCCGGCCUUGGAGUCUCUCUGCUAACAAGCUGAUGGUCAUGGAGAAACUGCCUUCAAAACCCUUCCCGCUGUCCUGCCAUCAUCGCCAUGUCUCACAGUUGGGAAAAUGGUGCUGAAAUGAAGCACAGCUUAACUGACAAUCACCCUGUUGGCACUAAUAUAAUGCAUUACCUGAGCAGUGAGACAAGCCAGGAUCCACAUGACUUGAUGCCUUGAGGACAAAGAGAACUCCCAAGUUUUUUAUGUAUAUAUAUAUUUUUUUGGAUCCACUUCAAAUGUUGACUAUUAAGAGGGGUUCCUUCAACACUGCUGCCUCCUUAAGAACUUUGAUCAUCAUCAUUAGGUCCAACAUAUUUGUGGUUUUAUUACUUAAGGUAUGUUUACAACACAUCAAUGCAUACAAUGUACAGUGCUGACCCACAAAAUAGAACCGGAGUCCUAUUCCAUUA
Megalobrama amblycephala (Wuchang bream) is the source of this 651-nucleotide long non-coding RNA. RefSeq lists it as uncharacterized. NCBI's taxonomy places the organism in Eukaryota, Metazoa, Chordata, Actinopteri, Cypriniformes, Xenocyprididae. The transcript has 4 exons. The record is from RefSeq and is a predicted model, not a curated record.